Long non-coding RNA from Pan troglodytes (chimpanzee), 2988 nucleotides. RefSeq lists it as uncharacterized. The record is from RefSeq and is a predicted model, not a curated record. The transcript has 5 exons. NCBI's taxonomy places the organism in Eukaryota, Metazoa, Chordata, Mammalia, Primates, Hominidae.
GCCCUUUCGCUGGCCCAGGAAGGGGUGAAUCACAGAUCAGUGUCAGAGGUGCGAUGAAAACCCAGGAGUUCUGAUUCCUGGGUCACCAUGCUCCCUUUGCCAAGGGUGGAGCCGACACCAACAGACUCUUAGCUCCUGUGCCCUGUGCAUCCUGGUGUUCGUGCACGUGCUGCACGGAAGAGCUGCAUCCUGGGACAAUUUUAUGGCUGAUGAGAACAUAUCUUGAUCCACUCCACAUUUCAGUGUAACCUUGCAGUAUACCCGUAACACUGGAGGCACACAUCUCUUCCCUAGCAGCCCUUAAGAACCUGAAUGGUAGAGAGAAGGAGGAUCACAAAAGUUUGCUUCCAGCUCUAUACUCACCCACAGAUCAACGAGGGGCAAGGAUAGAAGCAGAGACAUCAAUGGAGAAGAGGCUAUAGAAAGAUUCUGAGCAAGAAAUGACAAUGGGUUGGUAAUGGUAGUGCAGGUGAUAAGAAGAAGUCAUGUUCCGGAUGUACUUUUUCAGCCUGCAGACAGAUCAUCAGAAAAUUCAACUUUCAAGUGAGGAUCGUAAGCCAGAGAGUGCAGGACUCCACACCAGGGCAGAUGACCUGUGGAUUCCAGAAGCUCUCAGGAAUUUUGCAGAUUUCUCAAGGGCAACCCUGUCCAUAGAACGGGGAAAAGAACAAGCCCAUGCCUCCAAAGAGAAACUUCACAGUUCGCCUAAGUUUAACCUCUAGUGAUUCAUUCUCUUGUGUGUGGGGGCCUUCCGAUCUCUGGGAGCUCCCUCAAAGGCAAACUCCCAUGCAGAGGGCAUCUCUGAGGACUGAAAUCCAGGUGAUAAUAGUAACUACUGCUUUUUUAGCAUUUAGUGCUAACUUUGGCAUUUGGCCAACCAUCAAACACUCUCUUCCAUCAUCUCGCCCCUCCACCCACAGCCCUGUGUUAUCAAUCCCCUUUCCCAGCAAACUUGGGGACAAGUUGACUUGUCAUCAUCAUCUGUACCUCCCCACUUUACACUCUCUCCACAGUCCACUCCACUAGGGCAUUGGCUGCACAUGUCACCAAAACCACUCUUGUCAGUGUCACCAAAAACUCCCAUGUUGCAAGAUACAAAGGCCAUUUUUCGGUCUCUUGUACUGAGCCUCUCCUAGAAGCAUAAGGUCCCUGGGCUUCCUUGGCACCUCCUCCGCCAGCAUCUUCUCCUCUUUUUGGCUGCUCCUGCCAUAGUUCACCCACUGCCCUCUCCUUCUACCACUCUGUCGAGUACUGGUGCACCCCAGGGCUCAGUCCUAAGCCCCAUUCUUCCCUCUAUCCAUGUGUGCUCCUGCAGUCCCAUGGUUUACACACCAUGCAUUUACCAAUGCCUUUAUAUAGUUCUCCCACCCAAACCUCUCCCUGAGCUCCAGCCAGAAUCACAUAUACAACUGCCUACCUGACCUCCCCACUCAGAUAUAUUACAGAUCACUCGGCUAGUAGCUGGCUAAGGCAGGACAUAAAGUCAACUUCAGAUAGAUCUGAUCUCAAGGCCUGCAUUCUUAAUGACUCCUGGACUAGAAUCCAAGGAGACAGCUAUAAACUCUCUGAGAGAAGAGGCAUGUCCACUCCAAAGAUCUACCCAAUGGCCUAGGACAGACUUAUUCCAUCACUUCUCAUGCUGUGAGAAAUCUGUCAUUGUGGGAUUUCCCCACUUAAGUAUAACUAGGUGGUUACCUUUCCUGCAAUUUUCAAACAGGGCAGAUAUGUUAGGGGUAACAUGGACCCACAAACACCUGGUAUGUCUGUGUCUUCCCAGAGUGUAAACUCUGCUCAAACAUGGACACAGAAAGGCAGACAGCAGGAGAAAUCAUUUUCCUACAAAGAGAAAACAGAUGUGUCUUGGAAGAGAAAAUGAGAUACACCUUUUUGUAAUUUAAAAAAACAAGACUUCAAACUUCAGGUGGACACCUUAGCCUUCUGCCACAGAUUCAAAGGAUAUAAAGUAGAACUACAAAGAGCUUAAGUCCUGACUCCUAGAAGCUUGUUUCUAAUAUCUGCCUCCAUUAGCCUUCGUCUUAAACCAGAAAGGUGGUAUGAACACUCAACAAACUGUCAGUGUACUUUGGAAGAGGUGGGAUAAAAGUGGACAUUUUUGCCUUGCCUCUGAUGUCUUUAGCUAAGCCAAAUAAAUCUGGAAAGAAAAAUUAAAUAUUUCCCUAAAACCUCACAGGAGAAAAAAAGAGAAAGGCUUUCAGAAGUCCCCAGAGAAACAAGAAAUGGCUAUUUCCAAAACAAAGUUUGAUUUGAAAUUAUAAGAAGCUAGAGGUAGUUUUGAAAACCAGUGAACACUCAUGAACUUAAUCAGGCUUAGCAAAGCAGAGACAGAAAUGCAGAUUGGAAGUUGCCCCUGGAUAGCUUGGCCAGCAGAAUAAAACCCAGAGGCAGAAUCAAUUUUUUUUCUUUUAGAUUAAAGCCGCAGCGUCUCUCAGUUGAAGGCAGAGGUAUAAAGUCAAAGACUCCAGAAGUUCUUGGAAAAUGAUAAGUCAAUCUCUUGACAAAUGAUCCAGGGGCAACUUCGAAUUCCUGUUUCUAUCUCUACCUCUCUGAUUACUUUAACAAGCACUUUCUGAUUGGACCUUGGUAAUUCCAGCAAGCCAAGACUUUCCAUGGGACUUCACCUCACCCUCUUAGAUUACUGGCAACCUCGCAUCCCCUGAAUUCCUGUUCAGGGAGAAGAGCAAGUCCUUCCUUCAGGGACUGGAGAAUGACAACCUUCACAGAACCCAGAGCUAGAGACUGAGGACUCAGAAUGUAGACUGGGAAUAAGAGAACUACAGCCAGGGGCCAAAUCCCUCCAGCCACACCAAAAAAAAAAAAAAAAAAAAAAAAAAAAAAGCUUGAUUGGGGUACAUUUGACAUACAAAAAAACUGCACACAUUUAAUGUAUACAAUUUGAUGAGUUGGGUACAUGCAUACAGCCGUGAAACUAUCACCACAAUCAAUGUAAUAAACAUAUCCAGCACCUCC